Molecule: long non-coding RNA, 331 nt
Organism: Capsicum annuum
Lineage: Eukaryota; Viridiplantae; Streptophyta; Magnoliopsida; Solanales; Solanaceae
Exons: 2
Source: RefSeq, a predicted model, not a curated record
GGGAUUUGGGUUUCUGAUCGUCUUGACCCAUUUAUUGAAUUCAGUUUUGAGUCUUGAGCUUUUCAAUAUCGAGUUUGGAGUUCGUCGUUGUUGAUGUCCUAUUUGGGAUCCCAAAUUCGGGUUUUCUUAAAUCUUAUUACCAACGAAAUGAAUUGUUAAAAGAGGUAUCUUGUACUCGGAGGAUGUUCGUGAUGAAGGCUUGAGGCAUCGGGUAGAGCAUUAGUCUAGAAUUAGUUUAGAAUAGGAUUUACAUUUCCGUAUUUUUUCUAUUUUUGAGACUGUAUAAUUUGGACCGAUCCUUAUAUUUUCGGAAUUUAUUUUGUUUGUUUGA